RNAcentral lists this ribosomal RNA (488 nucleotides) under uncultured bacterium. Its description in RNAcentral is "partial 16S ribosomal RNA". It matches the Rfam family "Bacterial small subunit ribosomal RNA", at positions 28 to 507 of the family's 1533-position model. The record is from RNAcentral.
GACGAACGCUGGCGGCGUGCUUAACACAUGCAAGUCGAACGGAAAGGCCCUGCUUUUGUGGGGUGCUCGAGUGGCGAACGGGUGAGUAACACGUGAGUAACCUGCCCUUGACUUUGGGAUAACUUCAGGAAACUGGGGCUAAUACCGGAUAGGAGCUCCUGCUGCAUGGUGGGGGUUGGAAAGUUUCGGCGGUUGGGGAUGGACUCGCGGCUUAUCAGCUUGGUGGUGGGGUAGUGGCUUACCAAGGCUUUGACGGGUAGCCGGCCUGAGAGGGGGACCGGCCACACUGGAAGAGAGACACGGUCCGGGGGCCUAAGGGAGGGAGCGGUGGGGAAUGGGACGCAAUGGGCGAAAGCCGGACGGAGCAACGCGGCGGGAGUGAUGAAGGUCGUCGGAGCGGAAAACGCGGUUAUGAGGGAAGAACAGAGGGGUAAGGAACUGUGCACAGCGUGAGGGUACCUAAUCAGAAAGCCACGGCUAACUACGUG